This 138-nucleotide non-coding RNA is filed under the name Ditylum brightwellii. Lineage: Eukaryota; Bacillariophyta; Thalassiosirophyceae; Lithodesmiales; Lithodesmiaceae. The record is from RNAcentral.
ACUCUUUAUUCUAUAUUUUGCUCGUUGUUCAUAAGUUUUUGCUUUGAAUCGUUUCAAGAAACCAGCAAAGAAAUCUAUACAUGCACAUAUUCAAGGUUGAUAAUUUUGUGCCUCUUUGCAAAUUACCAGGUUUUGGCA